CGCCGGGCCGUGGGCAGCCGGCGGGGGCUGGGGCGGCUGCGGCGAGACAGCGCAUCAAAGGGGCCCAGGAACAGGCCUCCGAGGGGACCCCCAGGGAGGAGCAGCCGAGGGGUGCGGCCCCUACCUGGGCACUGCGGGCAGCACUCUCCCGGCAGCAGGACAGGCUCUGGACAGGGCAGCGGCACGCAGCGGCGGGCCAGGCACUGCACGUUGCCGCUCUACGGACCGACAGACGCACCACGGGAGACCUCGCCAGCCUAGGAGGGAAGCAGGUGAGACACCCUGAAGGAAUGAGGCAGAUCUGGGUGUGAGCGGAGGGACCGCCUACCUGGCAGGAGCAGCGGAC
RNAcentral lists this long non-coding RNA (346 nucleotides) under Homo sapiens (human). Its description in RNAcentral is "HSALNT0128840". Lineage: Eukaryota; Metazoa; Chordata; Mammalia; Primates; Hominidae. The record is from RNAcentral.